AGCAAGUCCCACACUGCGUGACCUCAGGCA
This 30-nucleotide non-coding RNA is filed under the name Homo sapiens (human). Lineage: Eukaryota; Metazoa; Chordata; Mammalia; Primates; Hominidae. The record is from RNAcentral.